UACGUAGGGCGCAAGCGUUGUCCGGAAUUAUUGGGCGUAAAGAGCUCGUAGGCGGUGUGUCGCGUCGGCCGUGAAAACCUGCAGCUUAACUGUGGGCGUGCGGUCGAUACGGGCAUCACUGGAGUUCGGCAGGGGAGACUGGAAUUCCUGGUGUAGCGGUGAAAUGCGCAGAUAUCAGGAGGAACACCGGUGGCGAAGGCGGGUCUCUGGGCCGAUACUGACGCUGAGGAGCGAAAGCAUGGGUAGCGAACAGG
This 254-nucleotide ribosomal RNA is filed under the name uncultured bacterium. RNAcentral describes it as "partial 16S ribosomal RNA". It matches the Rfam family "Bacterial small subunit ribosomal RNA", at positions 524 to 776 of the family's 1533-position model. The record is from RNAcentral.